RNAcentral lists this ribosomal RNA (484 nucleotides) under uncultured bacterium. Its description in RNAcentral is "partial 16S ribosomal RNA". It matches the Rfam family "Bacterial small subunit ribosomal RNA", at positions 30 to 507 of the family's 1533-position model. The record is from RNAcentral.
AUUGAACGCUGGCGGCAGGCCUAACACAUGCAAGUCGAGCGGAUGAAGGGAGCUUGCUCCUGGAUUCAGCGGCGGACGGGUGAGUAAUGCCUAGGAAUCUGCCUGGUAGUGGGGGAUAACGUCCGGAAACGGGCGCUAAUACCGCAUACGUCCUGCGGGAGCAAGUGGGGGAUCUUCGGACCUCACGCUAUCAGAUGAGCCUAGGUCGGAUUAGCUAGUUGGUGGGGUAAAGGCCUACCAAGGCGACGAUCCGUAACUGGUCUGAGAGGAUGAUCAGUCACACUGGAACUGAGACACGGUCCAGAGUCCUACGGGAGGCAGCAGUGGGGAAUGUUGGACAAUGGGCGAAAGCCUGAUCCAGCCAUGGCGCGUGUGUGAAGAAGGUCUUCGGAUUGUAAAGCACUUUAAGUUGGGAGGAAGGGCAGUAAGUUAAUACCUUGCUGUUUUGACGUCACCAGCAGAAUAAGCACCGGCUAACUUCGUG